This is a non-coding RNA of Acanthosepion pharaonis, 116 nucleotides long. The record is from the annotation of a GenBank genome assembly. Lineage: Eukaryota; Metazoa; Mollusca; Cephalopoda; Sepiida; Sepiidae.
UUACGGCCAUUUCUCGUUGAAACACCGGUUCUCACACGAUCACCGUCUUAGUUAAGCAGUAUCGAGCUGGUCAAUACCUUCAUGGGUAACCACUUGGGAAUACCAUGUGCUGAAAG